This 497-nucleotide ribosomal RNA is filed under the name uncultured bacterium. RNAcentral's name for it is "partial 16S ribosomal RNA". It matches the Rfam family "Bacterial small subunit ribosomal RNA", at positions 28 to 507 of the family's 1533-position model. The record is from RNAcentral.
GAUGAACGCUGGCGGCGUGCCUAAUACAUGCAAGUCGAGCGAACAGACGAGGAGCUUGCUCCUCUGACGUUAGCGGCGGACGGGUGAGUAACACGUGGAUAACCUACCUAUAAGACUGGGAUAACUUCGGGAAACCGGAGCUAAUACCGGAUAACAUGUUGAACCGCAUGGUUCAACAGUGAAAGACGGUUUUGCUGUCACUUAUAGAUGGAUCCGCGUCGCAUUAGCUAGUUGGUAAGGUAACGGCUUACCAAGGCAACGAUGCGUAGCCGACCUAAGAGGGUGAUCGGCCACACUGGAACUGAGACACGGUCCAGACUCCUACGGGAGGCAGCAGUAGGGAAUCUUCCGCAAUGGGCGAAAGCCUGACGGAGCAACGCCGCGUGAGUGAAGAAGGUCUUCGGAUCGUAAAACUCUGUUAUUAGGGAAGAACAAAUGUGUAAGUAACUAUGCACGUCUUGACGGUACCUAAUCAGAAAGCCACGGCUAACUACGUG